RNAcentral lists this unclassified non-coding RNA (191 nucleotides) under Archaeospora sp. RNAcentral's name for it is "partial contains 5.8S ribosomal RNA and internal transcribed spacer 2". The stretch from base 1 to 71 matches the Rfam family "5.8S ribosomal RNA", at positions 84 to 154 of the family's 154-position model. The record is from RNAcentral. Lineage: Eukaryota; Fungi; Glomeromycota; Glomeromycetes; Archaeosporales; Archaeosporaceae.
GUGAAUCAUCAAAUCUUUGAACGCAUAUUGCACUAUCUGGUAUUCCGGAGAGUAUGCCUAUUUGAGGAUCAUUUGAAAUAAUAUAAAUUUCGAGAUUUUCUUGAAAACAAAAAUUGGUCGUUCUAGCUUUCGUGUGGUGGUCGCCUAUAAUGCAAGACAAGCUCAUUUCUUUGUUUGCAUGAUACUUUCGG